RNAcentral lists this ribosomal RNA (495 nucleotides) under uncultured bacterium. Its description in RNAcentral is "partial 16S ribosomal RNA". It matches the Rfam family "Bacterial small subunit ribosomal RNA", at positions 28 to 507 of the family's 1533-position model. The record is from RNAcentral.
GACGAACGCUGGCGGCGUGCCUAAUACAUGCCAGUAGAACGCUGAAGGAGGAGCUUGCUUCUCUGGAUGAGUUGCGAACGGGUGAGUAACGCGUAGGUAACCUGCCUGGUAGCGGGGGAUAACUAUUGGAAACGAUAGUUAAUACCGCAUAAGAGUAGAUGUUGCAUGACAUUUGCUUAAAAGGUGCAAUUGCAUCACUACCAGAUGGACCUGCGUUGUAUUAGCUAGUUGGUGGGGUAACGGCUCACCAAGGCGACGAUACAUAGCCGACCUGAGAGGGUGAUCGGCCACACUGGGACUGAGACACGGCCCAGACUCCUACGGGAGGCAGCAGUAGGGAAUCUUCGGCAAUGGACGGAAGUCUGACCGAGCAACGCCGCGUGAGUGAAGAAGGUUUUCGGAUCGUAAAGCUCUGUUGUAAGAGAAGAACGAGUGUGAGAGUGGAAAGUUCACACUGUGACGGUAUCUUACCAGAAAGGGACGGCUAACUACGUG